RNAcentral lists this ribosomal RNA (484 nucleotides) under uncultured bacterium. RNAcentral describes it as "partial 16S ribosomal RNA". It matches the Rfam family "Bacterial small subunit ribosomal RNA", at positions 30 to 507 of the family's 1533-position model. The record is from RNAcentral.
AUUGAACGCUGGCGGCAUGCCUUACACAUGCAAGUCGAACGGCAGCACGGACUUCGGUCUGGUGGCGAGUGGCGAACGGGUGAGUAAUGUAUCGGAACGUACCUUUCAGUUGGGGAUAACGUAGCGAAAGUUACGCUAAUACCGCAUAUUCUGUUAGCAGGAAAGCAGGGGAUCGAAAGACCUUGCGCUGAUUGAGCUGCCGAUAUCAGAUUAGCUAGUUGGUGGGGUAAAGGCCUACCAAGGCGACGAUCUGUAGCGGGUCUGAGAGGAUGAUCCGCCACACUGGAACUGAGACACGGUACAGACUCCUAAGGGAGGCAGCAGUGGGGAAUAUUGGACAAUGGGGGAAAACCUGAUCCAGCAAUGCCGCGUGAGUGAAGAAGGCCUUCGGGUUGUAAAGCUCUUUCGGCCGGGAAGAAAUCGCAUAGGCUAAUACCCUGUGUGGAUGACGGUACCGGAAGAAGAAGCACCGGCUAACUACGUG